Molecule: long non-coding RNA, 466 nt
Filed under: Phoenix dactylifera (date palm)
Lineage: Eukaryota; Viridiplantae; Streptophyta; Magnoliopsida; Arecales; Arecaceae
Description: long non-coding RNA (PDAC_LNC004059)
Source: RNAcentral
UCCCUUCCUUGUUCUUCCUCUUUCUCCUCUUUCUCUGUAGUUGUGCUACAUCAUUAAGUGUCUACCAUAUCAUUGUAAUUGAUUCGAAACAUUCUACAAAAAUCAGAUUGUUUAACUUAACUGUGUGCAGAGAAACCAUACCUGUGUGUACAAAACGGUAAACUGUGUGCGCAAAACAGAAAAUUGUGUUUCGGGGUUAAUUAACUGUGUGUAUUGGUUAAUUGAGUGUGUUUCGAGCUUAAUCGACUAUGCGCCAUGCUAGGAUAAGUCUUGGCUCACAAGAACAACCUAUAUCAAGUGUCUACCACGUUGUUGUAACUGAUUCGAAAUAUUCUACCAAAAUCAGAUAGCUUAACUAAACUAUGUGUACAAAAACUAUAUCUAUGUGUAUGGAACGGUAAACUGUGUACACAAAACAGAAAAUUGUGCCAGGCUAUAUUAAGUGUUAAAACAUUGAUUAAUUAUG